CCCGGGGUUACUUGCGCCCUCUAUAAAUGAAAGACGGUACCGCCAGUUCUGGGAAUCGCACAGGGGUGCGUACAAAUGGACCAGGACGCGGAGAGCACGGAAACAACGGUGCUGGGACCUUGUGCACAGAAUCCAGAUGCCAGAUGGGAAUUAAACAUUCGGCCGAGAAAAGCAAUCUAGUUCCCUGGGCUCGACUUUGACUCACUCCUUGGUCUGCACCAAUCCUCACAUCCCUCAGGUCCUCUAACUUUUACGACAGUAUCCAGAAAUCGAUUCUUUGGUCUCUACGGCUCCAGAAGGCUCGCUCAUCAAGAAACGUUCCAUUACCUUCGAUUAGAAGUGGAUACAUAUAUGAUUUUGGCCUAAAAAAAAAUUUGCAAAAAGGGAGAAUGCAAACUUGUCCUUUUCCUUUUGGAUUUACGGAGUGCCAGUAUCAGAGUCUAUUGAGGAGGAAUCUCUGAAAAUGACAGCUGAUGGGUGUAGAGACCCACGCCCGGAAUCUCAGCAACUGAAGUGGUUGAAGCAGGAGCAUCUGGGCAGAGCUUGAACCAGGAAGCUGAGCGGCACCAUAGGUGUUGCUAACCAAGCAUAGCAGCAUAAUAAAAAUGGAGUGAUUAAAUGUA
This 623-nucleotide long non-coding RNA is filed under the name Mus musculus (house mouse). RNAcentral's name for it is "lincRNA-EC139". The record is from RNAcentral. Lineage: Eukaryota; Metazoa; Chordata; Mammalia; Rodentia; Muridae.